RNAcentral lists this long non-coding RNA (718 nucleotides) under Gossypium barbadense (sea-island cotton). RNAcentral describes it as "long non-coding RNA (GBAR_LNC014378)". Lineage: Eukaryota; Viridiplantae; Streptophyta; Magnoliopsida; Malvales; Malvaceae. The record is from RNAcentral.
UUUUUUUAAUUGGGUUUCUUGUAUAGACUUUGUAACGCCCCAAAAUUUAGGGGGUUAGACAAAAUGAAUCAUCAAAAAAUAAGCCUUAGUCUUGAUGGUUAAGGGCUUAGGAUAUUGCCUAGAGAAUAGGUUCAAGCCAUACUCUCUCUAUUUUUCCUGUAAUACCCAAUUGUUGCCCGGGGCCCAAAUUAGCCAAUCAAUUCCAAUUACAUUUGGCCCAAUAAGGCCCAAGUCACUAACCCAAACCCCAAACCCUAGCCUAACCCUAAGUAACAGUUAGCAGCAACCUCCAGCGCCGUGCACGCCCCACGCCGCAGCAACCCCCACGCUGUUUCCACGUACCUGCAACAAAUAAACCACGAACAACAAACAAAAAAGAGGAAAUAUAGAAAAAUUGUAAAAAUUUUAGUUUUUGGGGCUGUAGAGAUUCGGCUAUAAAGGAGCGAAUUGUUUUUUGUAAAAGGCUAGGAGUUUUGAAAAAAACUUUUGAAAAGAAAUCAAAGGAAAAAAAGAAAAUUUUGGAAGGUUUGUUUUUUGGGUCUUUCUUUUACUAUUUUUUUAUUUUAUAAAAAACAAAAUAAACGGAAAGGAGUAGUGGAAGACUCACCGUCGUGGUGUCGUCGGAGAACCCCUUCGUUUCGUCGCCAUCAGAGCGCGAUGGGUUUGAAACGGCAGAGAAGGAAGAAGGCUACGACGCAUUUGUUUGGAAUGGCAGAAA